CACGAACUGCGCGAACGUUAUUCGGAUUUACUGGGCUUAAAGAGUUCGUAGGCGGCUUUGCAGGUGGGGUGUGAAAUCCCCCGGCUCAACCGGGGAACUGCGCUCCAAACCGCAGGGCUUGAGGGAGAUAGAGGUGAGCGGAACUCACGGUGGAGCGGUGAAAUGCGUUGAUAUCGUGAGGAACACCGGUGGCGAAAGCGGCUCACUGGGUCUCUUCUGACGCUGAGGAACGAAAGCUAGGGGAGCGAACGGGAUUAGAUACCCUCGUA
Molecule: ribosomal RNA, 269 nt
Filed under: uncultured prokaryote
Description: partial 16S ribosomal RNA
Rfam family: Bacterial small subunit ribosomal RNA
Source: RNAcentral